This is a long non-coding RNA of Capsicum annuum, 1454 nucleotides long. RefSeq lists it as uncharacterized. The transcript is spliced from 3 exons. NCBI's taxonomy places the organism in Eukaryota, Viridiplantae, Streptophyta, Magnoliopsida, Solanales, Solanaceae. The record is from RefSeq and is a predicted model, not a curated record.
GAGAGUGACGGUAUCCAUAAUCCUUCUGGACUUAGAUACUCUUGCUGCACCCUUUGCUUUGUGGAGUAAGUUAAGUUUAUUGUUUCUGCAGCUUAAAUACCAUGAUAUUGAUCGAGAGAAAGACUGUCUACCACAAGUAGGCCAGUGGAAUAUGAUGAACAAGGUAACUGAUAUUAGCUUGGUUGAGAUUCAUCAUGGUAUUGGUGUUCAAAAAGCAGUUUGUUACCCAUUCAAGACGCUAUGUAUGUUACAUCUUACUUCCAGUAAAACUUGGGAUAAUAUAGCUGGAUUUGAACAAGGAAAGGGUUGUGGUGAUGGGUCGGCACUCAAAAGACAAUAAGGAGUAAUCAAUGAAACAAUUUGGGAGUGGAUGAGAGUUAUGGAUGGAUUCCAGUUUUCGUUCAUAGUUUCCUUUUUCUCUGAAGUAUAAGUCUUUUGCUCUGUUCUGGGUCAAUCUUCAGUGAAUGAUGGAGCUAACCAUAAGAAUUAUAAAAAUGGAUAACGGAGGAGCGGUGAACAACUGGAUCUGUAUAAACUUUUCUCGCAAUGUGCAAGACAGUGUUGCACGUGGAUUUUGUUCCGAGCUUGCACAAAUGUGCAUAAUAUUGGGCAUGACCUACAACCCCAAUCCUGUUCUACCACCUGUGAGUGCUCGCUCGCCCUGAUCGAGUUGAGAGAGUCUUGAAAACUUGAUUUCAUGAUGCUAUGACAAAGUUGCAGCCGAGUGGGAGGGAGCUAGAUCUUUUGAUUGUCAUAUUGUUGCCUGACAAUAAUGGCUCCCUUUAUGGUACAGGCCAAGAAUAGUGAAAUUCAUAUGGCGCUUCUUUGCGAAUUCCUGGAAAUUGCUACAGCUUAAAUAUUUUGUUUCUUUUUCCAGGUGAUCUGAAACGGAUUUGUGAAACUGAUCUUGGCAUUGUCUCACAGUGCUGCUUGACAAAACAUGUAUUUAAGAUGAGCAAGCAGUAUUACCUUAUAGUUUACAUCUAGUUACUUUUUUUUUUUCACAAACUUCUCAGGUCCAUCUCUACUUCCCUUUUCUUCACCCACUAAAGUCAAUCUCUCACUCAUCCUCAUUGAAACAUCUCUGCUUCUUUCCGAUUUUCACAUGGUCGAAUCAUCUCAGCCUCAUCUUGCUCAUUUUGCCCACCGCUCGAGGGCUAUUUCUGCCUUACUUUGGUUAGUCUUGUUCCUGAUCAUAUCUUUCCUAGCAUGCCUACACAUUCUCAUUUCUGUUACUCUCAUCUUCUGAAUAUGCAAAUUUUUGACUGAUCGAUACCAAACCCCAUACAAUAUUACUAAUCUCACCACCACUUUAAAAAUUUUACCUUUAAAAUUUAGCAACAAAUUCUUAUCACACGGAACAUCAAAUGCAACCUUUCCGGUCAUCGACGCAAUACCAUAGCUAAUCUUCCCAUUUUCUUAGAUUGUUGAUCCCAAUAUAGAACGUAAUACAA